This 460-nucleotide ribosomal RNA is filed under the name uncultured bacterium. RNAcentral describes it as "partial 16S ribosomal RNA". It matches the Rfam family "Bacterial small subunit ribosomal RNA", at positions 338 to 795 of the family's 1533-position model. The record is from RNAcentral.
CCUACGGGUGGCAGCAGUGAGGAAUAUUGGUCAAUGGCCGGAAGGCUGAACCAGCCAUGCCGCGUGAAGGUCAGUGCCCCAUGGGCGUUAAACUUCUUUUGUGCGGGAGCAAUAAUGGUCACGUGUGGCCAGACGAGAGUACCGUACGAAUAAGCAUCGGCUAACGCCGUGCCAGCAGCCGCGGGUAUACGGGGGAUGCAAGCGUUUUCCGGAUUUAGUGGGUUUAAAGGGGGCGUAGGCUGUGAGGUCAGGCAGGGGUUAAAAGCUCCCGGUCAACGGGGUGAAGUGCCAUUGAUACUGGCUUGCUGGAGUGCGGAUGCCGUGGGAGGAAUGUGUGGUGUAGCGGUGAAAUGCAUAGAUAUCACGCAGAACACCGAUUGCGAAGGCAUCUCACGAAUCCGCGAUUGACGCUGAUGCACGAAAGCGUGGGUAUCAAACAGGAUUAGAUACCCUGGUAGUC